Molecule: ribosomal RNA, 305 nt
Filed under: uncultured bacterium
Lineage: Bacteria
Description: bacterial SSU rRNA
Rfam family: Bacterial small subunit ribosomal RNA
Source: RNAcentral
UGUGUCCUACGGGACGCAGCAGUGAGGAAUAUUGGUCAAUGGUCGGGAGACUGAACCAGCCAAGCCGCGUGAGGGAGGAAGGUACAGAGUAUCGUAAACCUCUUUUGUCAGGGGACAAAGACUGGGACGCGUCCCCGGAUGAGUGUACCUGAAGAAAAAGCAUCGGCUAACUCCGUGCCGGCAGCCGCGGUAAUACGGAGGAUGCGAGCGUUAUCCGGAUUUAUUGGGUUUAAAGGGUGCGUAGGCGGGCUUUUAAGUCAGCGGUAAAAAUUCGGGGCUCAACCCCGUCCGGCCGUUGAAACUGG